RNAcentral lists this unclassified non-coding RNA (384 nucleotides) under Hevea brasiliensis (rubber tree). The record is from RNAcentral. Lineage: Eukaryota; Viridiplantae; Streptophyta; Magnoliopsida; Malpighiales; Euphorbiaceae.
CUUUCUCAGAAAUUGCUAAAUUUGACAAUUUGUAGAGGCGAUCAGUCUGAGAAAGCUCACAAUUGAUGAUGACAUUGAUCUUUAAGCUGAGUUGGGUUAAAGCGAAUUGAUAAACAGUUUCAAAUGGUAAGUUGUGUUUGAGUUCAUUUGGAAGUCCGGUUUUUGUUGAUUUUUGAAGGGCUAGAGAGGCGUCAUAUUGAUCGAUGAGGGGGUAUUUGAGGAAAGUAGCUAAUUCACGAGCUAUUUUGAUAGAUCCUGAAUCAUCUUUCAUUGCUAUAAGCAAUGGAGACUGUAGUGCUUCCAUUUUUCUCACCUAAAUGCACCUCUAUCUUUCUCAAAACUAGCUUACUGAGGGAAUGAAUGAGAGAACCCAAGAUAAGGUUG